AGGCAGCAGUGGGGAAUAUUGGACAAUGGGCGAAAGCCUGAUCCAGCCAUGCCGCGUGUGUGAAGAAGGUCUUCGGAUUGUAAAGCACUUUAAGUUGGGAGGAAGGGCAGUAAGUUAAUACUUUGCUGUUUUGACGUUACCGACAGAAUAAGCACCGGCUAACUCCGUGCCAGCAGCCGCGGUAAUACAGAGGGUGCAAGCGUUAAUCGGAAUUACUGGGCGUAAAGC
RNAcentral lists this ribosomal RNA (228 nucleotides) under gamma proteobacterium SCGC AAA163-N12. RNAcentral describes it as "partial 16S ribosomal RNA". It matches the Rfam family "Bacterial small subunit ribosomal RNA", at positions 346 to 566 of the family's 1533-position model. The record is from RNAcentral. Lineage: Bacteria; Pseudomonadati; Pseudomonadota; Gammaproteobacteria.